UACGAGGGGUGCAAGCGUUGCUCGGAAUUAUUGGGCGUAAAGGGUAGGUAGGUGGUCUUGUUUGUCCGGGGGUGAAAUCCCUUGGCUUAACUGAGGAAGUGCCUCGGAAACGGCAAGACUUGAGUUCCGGAGAGGAUCGUGGAAUUCCCGGUGUAGCGGUGAAAUGCGUAGAGAUCGGGAGGAACACCAGAGGCGAAGGCGGCGAUCUGGGAAGAUACUGACGCUGAGGUGCGAAAGCGUGGGGAGCAAACAGG
This 254-nucleotide ribosomal RNA is filed under the name uncultured bacterium. Its description in RNAcentral is "partial 16S ribosomal RNA". It matches the Rfam family "Bacterial small subunit ribosomal RNA", at positions 524 to 776 of the family's 1533-position model. The record is from RNAcentral.